RNA transcript from Leptinotarsa decemlineata (Colorado potato beetle), 1499 nucleotides. RefSeq lists it as uncharacterized. NCBI's taxonomy places the organism in Eukaryota, Metazoa, Arthropoda, Insecta, Coleoptera, Chrysomelidae. The record is from RefSeq and is a predicted model, not a curated record.
GAACAGUAAACGUAGUUGUUAGUUGUUUACUAUUCUGUAUUCUGUGCUUUAACUUUAGUCGUUCGUUGGUUGUUGUGUUGAAUUAUUAAAUCUGUGGUUAUGCUGUGACCAAAAUUCCCUACAAAGAAUAUAUUUUAUGAUGUGUACCAAUAAAUAUAAAAAAUGUCAAGUAGACCGAAUCUUAUCAUCAGUUCCUGACUAUAUUCAAAAAAUUCAGUGCGAUACCAAUGAAAGGUUAGAACAACAUUGUAUAAAAAUAUUUCAAAAGUCAUUUCAUUAGUUCGGACUUCUAUUGUCUAAUUUGAUAUAAAAUGAUUUGAGACCCCUGAAUCAAUAAAAUCAAAAAGAUUUGAUGAAAAAAUAACAAUUAUACUAAGCGAAAAAAACUGAAAUUGUAAAUUAUUAUUAUAUAAUUGUGUAUUUUUCAGGUAAUCUUUUUGAUUUCAUUGAUUCUCUUAGGGAUUUCAAAUCAUUUUAUAUCAUAUUAGACAAUGGAAGUCUGAACUAAUGAAAUGCAAUGUGAAACAUUGUCAACCACCUUCAAACAUUUCAAAAGACAUUGCCGUUCAAAUGUGCUGUGAGAUCUUGUCCAAAUUUUUUUCUCAGUUAUGAAGAACGUAAUAAGUACCCAUUCAAAUUUCAUAAUUUUCCCACCGACAAAGCUCUUCGUGAAGUCUGGAAAGAAAAAUGUGGCUGGAAAGAAAAUUCAAACAUAACUUGUCGACUCAAAGUUUGUUCAGAUCAUUUUGAAUUAAAUGAUUACAUUAGAAAUUACAAGGAGGAAUUCAGCAAUCCCAAUUUCAAGAGACAGUUGAAGAGGAAUGCAAUACCAACCAAGAAUAUCAAUAAAGAAUAUUUUGAAGAUGACGUGGUAGAAGCCUUCUGUAGUAUUCCCUGCAGUCAUGUUAACCAUGAUACUGAGGAUUAUUUAGAUACACAGUUGAACAGUGGUGUAGUACUCAAAAAGAAUAUGAAAAUCAUUCAAUCCGAUAAAGAAUCUCUUGAGAAAACCUGUUGUAUUAAAACAAUGCAAUCCAGCUAUUCAAAUGAAUGUAUCAAAGAACCAGGAUUUUUGGAAGAAGUUAAGAUGGCAGUAGAUCAUAAUGAAAUCUUGAACAAAAAUAUGUCAGAACUACUUCUCAUAGAGAAAGAGAUUAAACAAAAACUGAAAAAGUGUGAGAGAAAGAUCAAGUUUGUUAAUAAAAAACUCAGAUCAGGAAAAAUCGAUAAAGAUAUAAUUCACAAAGUUUUUUCAGAUGCACAGAUAAAUGUUUUACAGGGCAAAAAGAAAGUUUAUUGGAGUAAUGAUGACUUGGCUGAAGCUUUUAUUUUACGGCAGAUUGGUACGAAACAAUGUUAUUUAUAUUUGAAAAAUACCUUGAAUAUCCCUCUUCCCUCAUUAUCAUGUAUUCAAAGAUGGGCAGCUUCUAGUCAUGUUUCAUAAUAUGUAAGGAUAAUUUAUGUCUCCAAUAAAAUUGUAUUUUUACUAAGUGAAAAUA